This 576-nucleotide long non-coding RNA is filed under the name Solanum tuberosum (potato). RNAcentral describes it as "long non-coding RNA (STUB_LNC009089)". The record is from RNAcentral. Lineage: Eukaryota; Viridiplantae; Streptophyta; Magnoliopsida; Solanales; Solanaceae.
UUUAUGUGUUUUUUUUAAAUAUUGGUGUCAUCAAUUGUUUGAAAUUUUGAAGAGAGAAGGACUAGUUUUCAAAGAGGGGUUGUUAUGAGUUGCCUCAGAUUCAGGGUACUGAAGUUUUUAUGAGAAAAAGGUACUUGCUUUACAGUGAUUUCAUGUGACUCUUGGAAGUUAGCUUUGCUUUUAACAGGUUAAUUCACAAGACCCUUUUCUUGUUACCUAUGUUUCUUGUGUUUUAAGGAUUAAAGAUUUAUGCCAAGUUUGGAUUUUUGACUCAUUACCUAUUUAGGGUUUUAGUAAUUGUGUGGAUGUAAGGAUCUUUUGUGGCUGUAGUUGCUUAGUGGGUAGAUAAGGAAGAGGGAAAGAAUAAAAAGUUGAAAUUUUUGAAGAGAAAAAAAGUUCUUGCUGUUGUGGCUAUUGUUGUGUUCUAGCUGUAGUUAGUGGUGGGUAGAUAAGGAAGAGGACAAACAAGAAAAAGCCUAAGAUUUUUGAAGGGAAAAAAGGGUGCUUUCUAUUUUUUUUUGUUAGACAAAUCUGAUUAGCAAUUUCUGUUAAGUAUUCUGAUUAAUGGGGCGUGGC